This 457-nucleotide ribosomal RNA is filed under the name uncultured bacterium. RNAcentral describes it as "bacterial SSU rRNA". It matches the Rfam family "Bacterial small subunit ribosomal RNA", at positions 29 to 506 of the family's 1533-position model. The record is from RNAcentral.
AUAAACGCUGGCGGCGUGCUUCAGGCAUGCAAGUCGAACGAUUUCCCGGCUUCGGUCGGGCGAUAGUGGCGGACGGGUGAGUAACACGUAAGUAACCUGCCCGGAAGUGGGGAAUAACCCGCCGAAAGGCGAGCUAAUACCGCAUGUGAUGGUCUUUCUACGGGCGGAUCAUUAAAGGCGAAAGUCGCUUCUGGAGGGGCUUGCGGCCGAUUAGCUAGUUGGUGGGGUAACGGCCUACCAAGGCAACGAUCGGUAGCUGGUCUGAGAGGACGGUCAGCCACACGGGGACUGAGAUACGGCCCCGACUCCUACGGGAGGCAGCAGCUAGGAAUCUUGGGAAUGGGCGAAAGCCUGACCCAGCAACGCCGCGUGGGCGAUGAAGGCCUUCGGGUCGUAAAGCCCUUUUGUGGGGGAAGAUGAUGACGGUACCCCACGAAUAAGCCACGGCUAACUACGU